AUGCGUAGGAAUCUACCUAGUAGUAUGGAAUAGCCAUUAGAAAUGAUGGGUAAUACUGUAUAAUCCCUGCGGGGGAAAGAUUUAUCGCUAUUAGAUGAGCCUACGUUAGAUUAGCUAGUUGGUAAGGUAAUGGCUUACCAAGGCUAUGAUCUAUAGCUGGUCUGAGAGGACGAUCAGCCACACUGGAACUGAGAUACGGUCCAGACUCCUACGGGAGGCAGCAGUGGGGAAUAUUGGACAAUGGGCGAAAGCCUGAUCCAGCUAUGCCGCGUGAGUGAAGAAGGCCUUCGGGUUGUAAAACUCUUUCAAUAGGGAAGAUAAUGACGGUACCUAUA
RNAcentral lists this ribosomal RNA (335 nucleotides) under Ehrlichia chaffeensis. Its description in RNAcentral is "bacterial SSU rRNA". It matches the Rfam family "Bacterial small subunit ribosomal RNA", at positions 113 to 483 of the family's 1533-position model. The record is from RNAcentral. Lineage: Bacteria; Pseudomonadati; Pseudomonadota; Alphaproteobacteria; Rickettsiales; Anaplasmataceae.